This 220-nucleotide long non-coding RNA is filed under the name Elaeis guineensis (African oil palm). RNAcentral's name for it is "long non-coding RNA (EGUI_LNC068128)". The record is from RNAcentral. Lineage: Eukaryota; Viridiplantae; Streptophyta; Magnoliopsida; Arecales; Arecaceae.
CCGUGACACUUCUGCCUCCCAACGAUAGGGUCCUGUCGAAGCUCUCCCCCUGCCACAGGGGAUCCUACUGACGUCGACGAUCUGAGACCUCAGGAGGAAAGUUCGUCAGUUGAUGAAGAAAUCUAAGAAGCUGGAAGAUGAACUUCACCGACUGAGGAAGAGCCACUCGGAAGUCGCUGCGGAGGCCAUUCGCCUUCAGGACCUCCACAAAAGGGGACUC